Molecule: ribosomal RNA, 460 nt
Filed under: uncultured bacterium
Lineage: Bacteria
Description: partial 16S ribosomal RNA
Rfam family: Bacterial small subunit ribosomal RNA
Source: RNAcentral
CCUACGGGUGGCAGCAGUGAGGAAUAUUGGUCAAUGGACGAAAGUCUGAACCAGCCAAGUAGCGUGAAGGAUGACUGCCCUAUGGGUUGUAAACUUCUUUUAUGUGGGAAUAAACUGUUCCACGUGUGGGUUUUUGUAUGUACCAUAUGAAUAAGGAUCGGCUAAUUCCGUGCCAGCAGCCGCGGUAAUACGGAGGGUCCGGGCGUUAUCCGGAUUUAUUGGGGUUAAAGGGAGCGUAGGUGGAUUGUUAAGUCAGUUGUGAAAGGUGGCGGCUCAACCGUACAAUUGCAGUUGAAACUGGCAGUCUUGAGUACGGUAGAGGUGGGCGGAAUUCGUGGUGUAGCGGUGAAAUGCUUAGAUAUCACGAAGAACUCCGAUUGCGAAGGCAGUUCACUGGACUGCAACUGACACUGAGGCUCGAAAGUGUGGGUAUCAAACAGGAUUAGAUACCCUAGUAGUC